CUGCGGAUAGCUCCGGGAACUGGAAUUAAUACCGCAUACGCCCUACGGGGGAAAGAUUUAUCGGGGAAGGAUUGGCCCGCGUUGGAUUAGCUAGUUGGUGGGGUAAAGGCCUACCAAGGCGACGAUCCAUAGCUGGUCUGAGAGGAUGAUCAGCCACAUUGGGACUGAGACACGGCCCAAACUCCUACGGGAGGCAGCAGUGGGGAAUAUUGGACAAUGGGCGCAAGCCUGAUCCAGCCAUGCCGCGUGAGUGAUGAAGGCCUUAGGGUUGUAAAGCUCUUUCACCGAUGAAGAUAAUGACGGUAGUCGGAGAAGAAGCCCCGGCUAACUUCGUGCCAGCAGCCGCGGUAAUACGAA
RNAcentral lists this ribosomal RNA (357 nucleotides) under Rhizobium sp. AJ6-1. Its description in RNAcentral is "bacterial SSU rRNA". It matches the Rfam family "Bacterial small subunit ribosomal RNA", at positions 136 to 529 of the family's 1533-position model. The record is from RNAcentral. Lineage: Bacteria; Pseudomonadati; Pseudomonadota; Alphaproteobacteria; Hyphomicrobiales; Rhizobiaceae.